GCCUCGGUGGUGCAGUCGUAGUAGCAUGUGCUCCCGGUAUGGAUGAAACGCGGGUUCGAUUCCCACGUGAGGCC
Non-coding RNA from Parelaphostrongylus tenuis, 74 nucleotides. The record is from the annotation of a GenBank genome assembly. NCBI's taxonomy places the organism in Eukaryota, Metazoa, Nematoda, Chromadorea, Rhabditida, Metastrongylidae.